GAGCAUCGUGCCCAGGCGUGCGGUGUGUGGUUCCGCCGCACAAGAGUACUCACGCCCGCAUGUAUGAACGGGUCGGUUCGCCUGUUUGAAAAGUCUCUCGUGGAAGUUGCCGGUGUGUUCAUGGACUGUUUUGUAAUGCAGGUGUGAUAGUGUUGCACGGCCUGUGACCUCAUGACUGUUUUGCUGGUGUGUUCAUGGACUGUUGUGUAAUGCAGGUGUGAUAGUGUUGCACGGCCUGUGACCUCAUGACUGUUUUGCCGGUGUGUUCAUGGACUGUUGUGUAAUGCAGGUGUGAUAGUGUUGCACGGCCUGUGACCUCAUGACUGUUUUGCCGGUGUGUUCAUGGACUGUUGUGUAAUGCAGGUGUGAUAGUGUUGCACGGCCUCAGCGAGUCGGGGCGGGAUCAGAGGAGAGGAUAUCAGAGGGACGGGUCAGGCACGGCGUCUCGAAGAAGGCGAGGCUGUGCGGGUUUGGGAGUGUGCAAAUGAGGGAUGCACAGUGCGUGGGAGGAGGAUGGAGCCGCCCGGGAGGAGAGGAGGGCAGGGAAGAGAUUCUUGGACGCCACGGAGGAGGCCAAGCACUCCGGGCGGCGUCUGUGCAGCAGCCGGCCAGGAAGCCUCCAAGGCCCGCGUCGGCCACACGCCUCUCGCCGCGCGCCUUCCGUUGCACCCGAACACGUGCUCGCGUACAUGAAGGCGUGGGCGUAGAGGGGGUGCCUUUGGCGUGUUCAUAAGGCAGCCUCCAAGGCCCGCGCCGGCCAUAGGCCUCUCGCCGCGCCGCCCUCCGUUGCACCCGAACACGUGCUCGGGUACAUGAAGGCGUGGGCGUAGGAA
Long non-coding RNA from Eriocheir sinensis (Chinese mitten crab), 833 nucleotides. RefSeq lists it as uncharacterized. The transcript is spliced from 3 exons. The record is from RefSeq and is a predicted model, not a curated record. Lineage: Eukaryota; Metazoa; Arthropoda; Malacostraca; Decapoda; Varunidae.